AGUGAACGCUGGCGGUAGGCCUAUCACAUGCAAGUCGAACGGCAACACAGUAAGAGCUUGCUCUUACGGGUGGCGAGUGGCGGACGGGUGAGGAAUACAUCGGAAUCUACUUUUUCGUGGGGGAUAACGUAGGGAAACUUACGCUAAUACCGCAUACGACCUACGGGUGAAAGCAGGGGAUCUUCGGACCUUGCGCGAUUGAAUGAGCCGAUGUCGGAUUAGCUAGUUGGCGGGGUAAAGGCCCACCAAGGCGACGAUCCGUAGCUGGUCUGAGAGGAUGAUCAGCCACACUGGAACUGAGACACGGUCCAGACUCCUACGGGAGGCAGCAGUGGGGAAUAUUGGACAAUGGGCGCAAGCCUGAUCCAGCCAUACCGCGUGGGUGAAGAAGGCCUUCGGGUUGUAAAGCCCUUUUGUUGGGAAAGAAAAGCAGCAGGUUAAUACCCCGCUGUUCUGACGGUACCCAAAGAAUAAGCACCGGCUAACUUCGUG
Molecule: ribosomal RNA, 492 nt
Filed under: uncultured bacterium
Lineage: Bacteria
Description: partial 16S ribosomal RNA
Rfam family: Bacterial small subunit ribosomal RNA
Source: RNAcentral